Molecule: ribosomal RNA, 453 nt
Filed under: uncultured bacterium
Lineage: Bacteria
Description: partial 16S ribosomal RNA
Rfam family: Bacterial small subunit ribosomal RNA
Source: RNAcentral
GAUGAACGCUGACAGAAUGCUUAACACAUGCAAGUCAACUUGAACUUCGGUUUGGGUGGCGGACGGGUGAGUAACGCGUAAAGAACUUGCCUCACAGCUAGGGACAACAUUUGGAAACGAAUGCUAAUACCUGAUAUUAUGAUUAUAUGGCAUCGUAUAAUUAUGAAAGCUAUAUGCGCUGUGAGAGAGCUUUGCGUCCCAUUAGCUAGUUGGAGAGGUAACAGCUCACCAAGGCGAUGAUGGGUAGCCGGCCUGAGAGGGUGAUCGGCCACAAGGGGACUGAGACACGGCCCUUACUCCUACGGGAGGCAGCAGUGGGAAAUAUUGGACAAUGGACCGGGAGUCUGAUCCAGCAAUUCUGUGUGCACGAUGAAGUUUUUCGGAAUGUAAAGUGCUUUCAGUUGGGAAGAAAAAAUGACGGUACCAACAGAAGAAGUGACGGCUAAAUACGUG